AACCCCAAGGCAGGAAGAACUGGCGCAAAUUAAGAAGGUGAAUCCAGAAUACAAAGGAGACAGACUCACUCCUAUGUGGCCGAUCACACCCGCUGCUCUGAAGGCAGAAGCCUCUCCCAGGUUGAAGGAACUGGCACAACCCCGGUGUUACACAAAUGACUGGUACCGGCCCCGAUCCCUGAUGGUGAGUAAAGGAGCCCUGACUGCCAUUCCCACCCCACGGAUCAUUGCUCUAGCUGAACCAAGGCGCUUGCCACC
Anolis sagrei ordinatus is the source of this 258-nucleotide long non-coding RNA. RefSeq lists it as uncharacterized. NCBI's taxonomy places the organism in Eukaryota, Metazoa, Chordata, Lepidosauria, Squamata, Anolidae. The record is from RefSeq and is a predicted model, not a curated record.